Molecule: ribosomal RNA, 254 nt
Filed under: uncultured bacterium
Lineage: Bacteria
Description: partial 16S ribosomal RNA
Rfam family: Bacterial small subunit ribosomal RNA
Source: RNAcentral
UACGUAGGGGGGCAAGCGUUGUCCGGAAUCAUUGGGCGUAAAGCGCGUGUAGGCGGCUCGGUAAGUCCGCUCUGAAAGCCCGGGGCUCAACCCCGGGAGGCGGGUGGAUACUGUCUAGCUCGAGUCCGGAAGAGGAGUGUGGAAUUCCUGGUGUAGCGGUGAAAUGCGCAGAUAUCAGGAGGAACACCAAUGGCGAAGGCAGCACUCUGGGACGUGACUGACGCUGAGACGCGAAAGCGUGGGGAGCAAACAGG